GAUGAACGCUGGCGGCGUGCCUAAUACAUGCAAGUCGAGCGAACGGACGAGAAGCUUGCUUCUCUGAUGUUAGCGGCGGACGGGUGAGUAACACGUGGAUAACCUACCUAUAAGACUGGGAUAACUUCGGGAAACCGGAGCUAAUACCGGAUAAUAUUUUGAACCGCAUGGUUCAAAAGUAAAAGACGGUCUUGCUGUCACUUAUAGAUGGAUCCGCGCUGCAUUAGCUAGUUGGUAAGGUAACGGCUUACCAAGGCAACGAUGCAUAGCCGACCUGAGAGGGUGAUCGGCCACACUGGAACUGAGACACGGUCCAGACUCCUACGGGAGGCAGCAGUAGGGAAUCUUCCGCAAUGGGCGAAAGCCUGACGGAGCAACGCCGCGUGAGUGAUGAAGGUCUUCGGAUCGUAAAACUCUGUUAUUAGGGAAGAAUAUAUGUGUAAGUAACUGUGCACAUCUUGACGGUACCUAAUCAGAAAGCCACGGCUAACUACGUGCCAGCAGCCGCGGUAAUACGUAGGUGGCAAGCGUUAUCCGGAAUUAUUGGGCGUAAAGCGCGCGUAGGCGGUUUUUUAAGUCUGAUGUGAAAGCCCACGGCUCAACCGUGGAGGGUCAUUGGAAACUGGAAAACUUGAGUGCAGAAGAGGAAAGUGGAAUUCCAUGUGUAGCGGUGAAAUGCGCAGAGAUAUGGAGGAACACCAGUGGCGAAGGCGACUUUCUGGUCUGUAACUGACGCUGAUGUGCGAAAGCGUGGGGAUCAAACAGGAUUAGAUACCCUGGUAGUCCACGCCGUAAACGAUGAGUGCUAAGUGUUAGGGGGUUUCCGCCCCUUAGUGCUGCAGCUAACGCAUUAAGCACUCCGCCUGGGGAGUACGACCGCAAGGUUGAAACUCAAAGGAAUUGACGGGGACCCGCACAAGCGGUGGAGCAUGUGGUUUAAUUCGAAGCAACGCGAAGAACCUUACCAAAUCUUGACAUCCUUUGACAACUCUAGAGAUAGAGCCUUCCCCUUCGGGGGACAAAGUGACAGGUGGUGCAUGGUUGUCGUCAGCUCGUGUCGUGAGAUGUUGGGUUAAGUCCCGCAACGAGCGCAACCCUUAAGCUUAGUUGCCAUCAUUAAGUUGGGCACUCUAAGUUGACUGCCGGUGACAAACCGGAGGAAGGUGGGGAUGACGUCAAAUCAUCAUGCCCCUUAUGAUUUGGGCUACACACGUGCUACAAUGGACAAUACAAAGGGCAGCGAAACCGCGAGGUCAAGCAAAUCCCAUAAAGUUGUCCUCAGUUCGGAUUGUAGUCUGCAACUCGACUACAUGAAGCUGGAAUCGCUAGUAAUCGUAGAUCAGCAUGCUACGGUGAAUACGUUCCCGGGUCU
Molecule: ribosomal RNA, 1372 nt
Filed under: uncultured bacterium
Lineage: Bacteria
Description: bacterial SSU rRNA
Rfam family: Bacterial small subunit ribosomal RNA
Source: RNAcentral